UGAACUGUGACGAUGUUAUGACGUAUGGC
This 29-nucleotide non-coding RNA is filed under the name Bombyx mori (domestic silkworm). Lineage: Eukaryota; Metazoa; Arthropoda; Insecta; Lepidoptera; Bombycidae. The record is from RNAcentral.